GAUGAACGCUGGCGGCGUGCUUAACACAUGCAAGUCGAACGAAGCACUUUAUUUGAUUUCCUUCGGGACUGAUUAUUUUGUGACUGAGUGGCGGACGGGUGAGUAACGCGUGGGUAACCUGCCUUGUACAGGGGGAUAACAGUUGGAAACGGCUGCUAAUACCGCAUAAGCGCACAGCAUCGCAUGAUGCAGUGUGAAAAACUCCGGUGGUAUAAGAUGGACCCGCGUUGGAUUAGCUAGUUGGUGAGGUAACGGCCCACCAAGGCGACGAUCCAUAGCCGACCUGAGAGGGUGACCGGCCACAUUGGGACUGAGACACGGCCCAAACUCCUACGGGAGGCAGCAGUGGGGAAUAUUGCACAAUGGGCGAAAGCCUGAUGCAGCGACGCCGGGUGAGCGAAGAAGUAUUUCGGUAUGUAAAGCUCUAUCAGCAGGGAAGAUAAUGACGGUACCUGACUAAGAAGCACCGGCUAAAUACGUG
Molecule: ribosomal RNA, 481 nt
Filed under: uncultured bacterium
Lineage: Bacteria
Description: partial 16S ribosomal RNA
Rfam family: Bacterial small subunit ribosomal RNA
Source: RNAcentral